RNAcentral lists this ribosomal RNA (298 nucleotides) under Corynebacterium striatum. RNAcentral's name for it is "partial 23S ribosomal RNA". It matches the Rfam family "Bacterial large subunit ribosomal RNA", at positions 1 to 298 of the family's 2925-position model. The record is from RNAcentral. Lineage: Bacteria; Bacillati; Actinomycetota; Actinomycetes; Mycobacteriales; Corynebacteriaceae.
UGUUCGUUAUUUAGGGCGCAUGGUGGAUGCCUUGGCAUGCUGAGCCGAUGAAGGACGUGAAAGGCUGCGUUAAGCCUCGGGGAGUUGUCAAUUGAGCGUUGAUCCGAGGAUGUCCGAAUGGGGAAACCUGGCACCUGUUAUGGGGUGUUACCCUUCAGUGAAUUCAUAGCUGUUGUGGGGGCAACGCGGGGAAGUGAAACAUCUCAGUACCCGUAGGAGAAGAAAAUAAUAAUGAUUCUGCUAGUAGUGGCGAACGAACGUGGAUGAGGCUAAACCGUGUGCAUGUGAUACCUGGUAG